RNAcentral lists this ribosomal RNA (541 nucleotides) under uncultured bacterium. RNAcentral describes it as "partial 16S ribosomal RNA". It matches the Rfam family "Bacterial small subunit ribosomal RNA", at positions 355 to 885 of the family's 1533-position model. The record is from RNAcentral.
UGGGGAAUAUUGCACAAUGGGCGCAAGCCUGAUGCAGCCAUGCCGCGUGUGUGAAGAAGGCCUUCGGGUUGUAAAGCACUUUCAGCGAGGAGGAAGGUGGUGAGCUUAAUACGCUCAUCAAUUGACGUUACUCGCAGAAGAAGCACCGGCUAACUCCGUGCCAGCAGCCGCGGUAAUACGGAGGGUGCAAGCGUUAAUCGGAAUUACUGGGCGUAAAGCGCACGCAGGCGGUUUGUUAAGUCAGAUGUGAAAUCCCCGGGCUCAACCUGGGAACUGCAUUUGAAACUGGCAAGCUAGAGUCUCGUAGAGGGGGGUAGAAUUCCAGGUGUAGCGGUGAAAUGCGUAGAGAUCUGGAGGAAUACCGGUGGCGAAAGGCGGCCCCCUGGACGAAGACUGACGCUCAGGUGCGAAAGCGUGGGGAGCAAACGGGAUUAGAUACCCUGGUAGUCCACGCUGUAAAACGAUGUCGAUUUUGGAGGUUGUGCCCUUGAGGCGUGGCUUCCGGAGCUAACGCGUUAAAUCGACCGCCUGGGGAGUACGG